This 925-nucleotide small RNA is filed under the name Arabidopsis thaliana (thale cress). RNAcentral describes it as "ATSL036440". The record is from RNAcentral. Lineage: Eukaryota; Viridiplantae; Streptophyta; Magnoliopsida; Brassicales; Brassicaceae.
CAAUGGAGGAUCCACUCGACCACCUUGAUGAAUUCGAUAGGCUCUGCAAACCUAACAAAGAUCAAUGGUGUCAGUGAAGACGGAUUCAAGCUACGUUUGUUUCCAUUCUCCUUGGGCGACAAAGCACACAUCUGGGAGAAGAAUCUGCCCCAUGACUCAAUCACCACCUGGGAUGAUUGCAAGAAGGCUUUUCUAUCAAAGUUCUUCUCCAAUGCCAGAACUACAAGACUCAGAAAUGAGAUCUCUGGCUUUUCACAGAAGACUGGUGAAAGCUUCUGUGAAGCAUGGGAGCGUUUCAAGGGUUACACCAACUAAUGCCCUCAUCAUGGCUUUACUAAAGCCUCUCUGCUCAGCACUCUUUACAGAGGAGUCCUACCACGUAUCAGAAUGCUUCUGGAUACCGCCAGCAAUGGAAAUUUCCAGAACAAAGAUGUUGAAGAAGGCUGGGAAUUGGUUGAAAACCUUGCUCAAUCAGAUGGCAAUUACAACGAGGACUGCGAUAGGACCGUCAGAGGCACAACUGACUCUGAUGACAAACACAGGAAGGAGAUCAAAGAGCUGAAUGACAAGCUGGACAGGAUUCUUCUUAGCCACCAGAAGUAUGUGAACUUCCUUGUUGAUGACAAGCAGUUUCAAGUCCAAGAUGGGGAGGGUAUCCAGUUGGAAGAAGUCAGCUACAUCAACAACAACCAGGGUGGCUACAAAGGAUACAACAACUUCAAAACCAACAACCCCAACCUCUCCUACCGCAACACCAACGUUGCUAAUCCUCAGGAUCAGGUGUAUCCUCCACAGCAACAACAAGGUCAGAACAAACCUUAUAAUUAGUCAAAUGCAUUGGAUUAUGACACAUUUUGACCAUAGAAAAACAAACAAAGCCAUAUACUGAUUCUAAGCAAUUUAUUGUUGGUUUUAUCCUCUUUUA